Molecule: long non-coding RNA, 754 nt
Organism: Lepus europaeus (European hare)
Lineage: Eukaryota; Metazoa; Chordata; Mammalia; Lagomorpha; Leporidae
Exons: 3
Source: RefSeq, a predicted model, not a curated record
UUACAACAAGAGAGGGAGACACGCCGAGAGAGAUCUUCCACCUGCUGCUUCACUCCCCAGAUGGCUGCAGUUGGCCAGACUGGAGCCAAGAGCCAGGAGCUUCUUCUGGGCUCCCACAUUCGAAAAGCUUGACCGCGGGGACAUCUGGAGGAACUACACAAACGGAUCUCAACCCCACACGGUGCCUCCAUGCCUCUGAGGCCCUUACAAGAGAAAGGUCUGGUCGAACGUGAACCCUUGCAAGUCAGAGUGGGGUUUGAACUCCAACGUGAGCCUGUGAGGAGACAAAGUCCAGGUGAACCGCAGCAACAGCCACGACAGCGGCCCACGAGAAAGCCCGAGGGACCGCCCUGUGGGCUCCCGCGCUGCUCGAACACUCUGACAUUCGCUGUGACUCCUGCAAGUGCUCCUUCCUGUGCCCACCCUUCACAACGGUGCUGAGAACUCAGAGAGGCCGAGGAUACUGUGGUGGGGCCGGUGCGGCCGUGCAGUGGAUGAGGCCACCACCUGCAGUGCCGGCAUCCCAUAUGGGUGCCGGUUCGAGUCCUGGCUGCUCCACUUCCCAUCCAGCUCUCUGCUAUGGCCUGGGAAAGCAGAAGAAGAUGGCCCAAGUCCUUGAGCCCCUGCACCCGCAUGGGAGACCCGGAGGAAGCUCCUGGCUCCUUGCUUCGGAUCGGCGCAGCUCCAGCCUUUGGCGGCCAUUUGAGGAGUGAACCACCGGAUGGAAGACCUCUCUCUCUCUCUAUCUCUCUUU